GCGCCCGUAGCUCAGUGGAAGAGCAGCGGACUUCUAAUCCGCGGGUCGCAGGUUCGAAUCCUGCCGGGCGCG
Molecule: transfer RNA, 72 nt
Filed under: Gaiellaceae bacterium
Lineage: Bacteria; Bacillati; Actinomycetota; Thermoleophilia; Gaiellales; Gaiellaceae
Also listed under: 2 other names
Description: tRNA-Arg
Rfam family: tRNA
About the family: Transfer RNA (tRNA) molecules are approximately 80 nucleotides in length. Their secondary structure includes four short double-helical elements and three loops (D, anti-codon, and T loops).
Source: RNAcentral